GGGCCGAUAGCGCAGUCUGGUAGCGCGCCGCCCUUGCACGGCGGAGGUCGGGGGUUCGAAUCCCCCUCGGUCCA
RNAcentral lists this transfer RNA (74 nucleotides) under Candidatus Methanodesulfokora washburnensis. RNAcentral's name for it is "Candidatus Methanodesulfokores washburnensis tRNA-Ala". It matches the Rfam family "tRNA". From Rfam's summary of the family: Transfer RNA (tRNA) molecules are approximately 80 nucleotides in length. The record is from RNAcentral. Lineage: Archaea; Thermoproteati; Thermoproteota; Candidatus Korarchaeia.